This 405-nucleotide ribosomal RNA is filed under the name Triticum aestivum (bread wheat). RNAcentral's name for it is "partial small subunit ribosomal RNA". Lineage: Eukaryota; Viridiplantae; Streptophyta; Magnoliopsida; Poales; Poaceae. The record is from RNAcentral.
AUGACAGCUGGGCGGUGCGGCGCGGGCGCGGCCGGGAUGGUGUGGGCGUGGCCCUGCACACUCGUCGGCGGCCUCAUCCAGCACCACGUCGGCCACGAUCCUCGUCCCACAUCCGCAGCUCCCCGCUGGACGCGCACACCAUCCUCCACACCACCAUGCUCCACCUCGCCGACGCCCUCGAGCUCCAGAGCUGCGCCGUGUUGGCUCUCCCACGCGUUCACGGAUGAGCGAAGCCGGGGCGGGCGUGCUGUUGGCGGACGGGCGCGGCGUGGGCGUGGCCUGGGCGGCGUGCGUGUGGGGGGACGACCGGAAAAAAUCUCACUCCCAAAGCAAAAUUUUCGCUGGGGCAACCCCAGGAGACCGAAAAAACGCCUCCUAAGGACACAACGGCUGGAGAUGCUCUAA